Molecule: long non-coding RNA, 8486 nt
Organism: Bicyclus anynana (squinting bush brown)
Lineage: Eukaryota; Metazoa; Arthropoda; Insecta; Lepidoptera; Nymphalidae
Exons: 3
Source: RefSeq, a predicted model, not a curated record
ACUAGAAAGUAGACAUUUUUUUGGAACAAUAAACUGACCUCUGUUUGGGUAUUGCGUGUACAGUGUGCCUAGUGUUGUUACUAACGCGUUGUCGUAAACGCGAAUUGAUAUGAAAUUGAAACAGUUGUGCAGUAGUGCCACUAGAUGGCGCUGUUUCAAUUCCUUAGAAAUUCGCGUUUACGUUAACGCGAUAGUAAUAGUAUCAAACUGCCACUAGGCACACACAACAUAUACAGGGUGAUUCGGUCUUUAGUGCGGAUAUUUUUUUUCGUGGUUCUGUAUCAUUAAUAGAAUAUAAAUCUGCAAACAGUUCGAUACAUUUUAUGUAAUUUUUUUUUUAAUUUAUGUCUCUAAAAUAACAAAAUAAUGUACAUAUUAUUACUAAACAAGAUAUAUUCAGCUUAAAAGUGAUCUGGUGACGUCCUUUAGGUAUCAAACGAAAAUAAAAUAAACGCACAAUAGGGUGACCCUAAAAUUCUGUUCAAAAGUAAAUAACUUUAGCUAACGAUAAUUUUGUUAUUUUGAGUUAAAAAAAAAAGAAAAAAUACGUGAUCAUUAAAUUUUGUUUAUGUACAAAAUAUAAAAAUAUCCGCACUAAAAAAAUUUUCUUCCUGUAUACUCUUUGAACGCAAAAGCUGACGGUUAUUGUGUGUCAUUUAGUAUGGGAAAAACAAAGUUUAUUUAUUUGAUUAAAUAAUUAUAACACUAGAAAUACGUACACAAAACAAAAGAUAAAUCUAUGAAACAUAUGUCAUUGUGCAUCAAUCACAUAAAUUCAAUAACACUGCUAAAGUUCAUCAAUGAAGAACUUUUGAGAUCCAAGAUGAAAUGGCGUUUGAGAACUACAUCAAUUAAGUCACUGACUGACUGACUGUGAAUAUUCACUUAAUAAAUUAGAAUCUGACGACCAAUAGUAGAUCCCUAUUUAAAAAUCAAAAUUAAUUUAUUACAAUUAGGCUUAGUCUACAAGCACUUUUGGAACGCGCCUUCCUUCAAGAAGCCCACAACAGACUCAGCCAAGGUUAAUAUUUUUUUUUGUUUAACACUAUUUUACAAAAUUAUCUAGAACUAAGUACACUAAAUAUAGCAGUGAAGACGUGAUCAAUCAGACCAAAUAAAUUAUGCUAUUAUAGAGUAUGUAUAUAUAUGUAUACAUAAUCUAUACUAUUUAUUCUAAAGCCAUACUCGAAGAGUACUGUUUACUAACAAACUAAUUAGAAAUGAGGGUAUAAAACGGUUGUCAUUUCAUAACUUUUUCAUUUAAAAUUAUGUUUUUUUUAUAAAAUAUUAAUCAAAAUAUAUUAACUAUAUCUAAUUGUUUUAAGUUUAUUAAUUAAAUUUAUUUUCAUUAAUUUAAGACCAAGUUAAUUAUAAUUAUGGUGUGAAAUGACGCGAUUUAUACCCUCAUUUUUAAUUUGUUUGUUGGUAAACAGUAUUUCUCGAGUAUGGCUGCUUUAAUUAUUUAUAGCUAUUGCUAUUGCUUCACCGGCGUGUAAUUUUUUUCUAACUAUGCAUCGGAAACAGUAUGUUUUACCGGAAUGAAAAUAAUCCCAUGUCCUUUUUUGUACUCGUAAGAACGUGGUUAUUAUAUUAUUAAAACCGUAGUAGUAUAUUAUUCAAGCCAUAGGACUUAGAUUUGAUCUUACGCGAGUACAUAAGGUACAAAACGAUUCAAGAUCACCAAUCAGUACACCAACGGAUGGUGAUGAUGAUGGCUCACAAAUUUUGAUUUGUAUUUCUAAUAAAAAAAAAUGAAAUUUCAAUAUCAGAUAAGGCUUUAAAAAACAUAUUUAUGGUUUACUUGGUUGUUUUAUUUUAUUUUACCUAAAAGGCACUAGAACUAUAAUUAUUUUAUAAUUAAGUGAUACUCUUUAAAUUAAUUGUUGAAGAAGAAAACGUAAUUUUUGACGGCCUGCGUGGCGUAGUGGUAUGCGCGGUGGAUUUACAAAACGGAGGUCCUGAAUUCGAUCCCCGGCUGGCAGGUUGAGAUUUUCUUAAUUGGUCCAGGUCUGGCUGGUGGGACGCCUUGGCCGUGGCUAGCUACCACCCUACCGGCAAAACGUACCGCCGAGCGAUAUAGCGUUCCGGUACGAUGCCGUGUAGAAACCGAUAGGGCUGUGGAUUUUCAACCUCUUCCUAACAAGUUAGCCCGCUUCCAUCUUAGACUGCAUCAUCACUUACCAUCAGGUGAGAAUAGUCAAGGGCUAACUUGUAAAGAAUAAAAAAAAUCGCAUGUUAAUCCAGAAUGGUGUAUUUUAUUAAAGAGUAAGUUUAGUUGGUCAAACUUAUAGGUAACCACGCACCUAUUAAAUAUAUAAUUAUGAUGAAAAAUUAAAUGUUGCUCUUUCCAGAAAUAGUCUAUUUGCAGUUUGAAUAUAGGAAACAUCCUGCUUUGUUGUUUAGAGGACAUAUAUACAAAAAAGCCAAGACCAGUAUCAAAACUGGGACGGUACUCUGGAUAUGUGCCAAGGUGCACCAGGGCUGCAGAGCUCGCUGCUUCGUAUCAAAGGAUGAUACAGAAAUCGAAGCCAGAGGUGAACAUAAUCACUCGAAAGUCAAUUGCAACGAUAUAUAUAAUAAAUAGAGACAAUGCUCACAUAAUUUGCGACGGUUGUUGUUGCUCCUCGCGUACAACAGUUACACUGACCUAUAGAAAGCAAUAGUCAGGGAUCCGUAGAAAUUUUUUUACAACUGAUUACUGUCAAGUUAAUUUUUCGUGAGUAGUUUGAUGAGACGAUCAACUUUAUUUUUUACGAAAACGUCGGAGAGAUUAACUUGAUAGUAAUCAGUUGUAAAAAAUGUUCUACGGAUCCCCGACUACUACAACGUGUGUUUCGGGGGAUAUAUUUUUUUAACAGUUCCUACGUUAAUAGUAUGAAUAAAUCAUUACAUGCCAGGUGGUAUCGCACACGGCAUCUUUCGUCAAAAUAUCAUAGAACGAGACAUGGUAAAGAUUAAGAUUAUGUUUGAUCAACAAAGUUUGACAAACAGCAUAAAAAAUAAUUAUACAAUUUUAGGUUUUUAAAUUUAAGAGAAGCGUUACGAUCAGAAAUUUUAACAUUAUGUAUUUUUAUCAGUUACUUUAUGGAAUAUUGCAACAGUGUUUUCUUUUAUUACUAUUUUUUUAAAAUAGAUUGCAAUAAAUGAAGUAUGACUGGCACUAUUGUUUCAUUUAAAGUAUAUUCAGUAAACUCCGUCUUUUAAUCAACAAUCAAAAUUAAUAAAUAAAGUUGAUUUUUGAAGUUUACUCCUUAAGAAUCGAUUUUUCAUAUAUAGCCCCGGGUAUGAAAAAAAUAUGGGUAGUAAAAUUCGGUGAACGAAUGACAGCGUUACGCACGCACGCUGUUGGCGGGUGCGCACGCCGCGGUCUGCUGCUCCUCGGUUGCGCACCUUUCACUUUUCAGGCGUAGGUAUUGAGACGUACAUAGUGUAUGCUGCGGGGCAAUAUACACCUAUUUAGACAGUCGAUCUGAAAGAGUAAACUUCAUUCAUGUGUCGGAGCUGACACACACUUUUUUUUAAGAAAUUAGAAAAACAAUAUAACAAUAAUAAUACAAUAGAAGAAUAUAAACAAAAAAUACAAUUUUUAAUUUAAUGAAACAUGUUUCUAGUAUGUUUCCUGCCAAGUAACCGAAAGAAGAAUCCUUUGCUAAUGUACAACAAUUAUACCUACAAGAAGCAGUGGGAGUGUACUACGGGAAAAGUGAUUUGGUAUUGUUCUAAAAGGAAAAGGGGUUGCAAGGCCUUCGUCCAUAGUAUGCAAGGUCUGUUCACACCAGGUGACCUGAACCAUACGCACCCCGCACCAGCCUACACGAGAGGUCAAGAUGGCACUUGGGUGAAACUAUAAGGUUUAUAGUAUGAAACUUUAGGUCUUGUCUGAGAUCUAGCAGUCUUAUAAUAGAUAUUGCAAACUCAGUACAAAUAUGAAAGUAAGAAUUAUCGUAGCUGUAAGUUACCUAUUAGUAAGAUACAAAAAAAUACAAAAGUUGUACAUUGCCAAGUUAUUUUUUGUUUGUUAAUUAAUAUUAUGUAAUUAUAAAAUAUUUAAUUAACAUUAUACAGGGUGCUGGGGAGUAUUUCCCUUAACUUUAAGAUGUUGACGAUAGGAGCCUAACUGCAUAACUAAUAUUUUUAACUAAAAAAUAUUUUUUUUUAUGUUUUCAUACAAAUUAAUUCCGAAUAGCCAUGUAACACACGCGUUUAUCUAUCCUUGCAUUUUAAAAUUUUAAAGUUUGGGCACAAUUUGGGUACGUCAUAAUUAUAAGGAUGCGUUAAGGUACACAUUUUGAGAUCUAUUUACAAAAGAAAUUUAUUUACGAAAAUAUUAAUUUUUGAACAAAUGUUCUUUGAUCAUUUUUAAAUAAUUUUCGGUAAACUAUAUAACCCCAGAGUUAUGGGAAAUACUCCCGAGCACCCUGUAUAAUGAGCAAAAACAUAAAAGUUUGUUUGUUUGUUGUUUUGUUUCUUGCUCAUUACACAAUAUUUCAUCGACUUGCCUAACGAUUUAUGUUCCAAUUACUACUUUUGUAGUAUCUAGCUUUUUUUUGAAAGUUAAAUUAAUGUACAAAUUAUAUUUAUUCAAUAUUUUGUUCAUGAUGAAAAAUGUUAUGUACCUACAGAAAUGUUAAAAUUAUGUUCAAUGAUUAUAUUGAAUUAAAAAUAAUCCUAUUGUGUGGAGUGUAUUUCUAGUUUUAAUUGUGAUUGGCGUUGCGUGGGUUUGUAUACCAAACCAAAAACUAGAGAAAGUUGUUUAUAAGUUUUAUUAAAAAAAAAUUACCUUUACAACUACGGACAUUACAAAAUAUUUAAAACAAUUCUGAUAUUUAUUUCAACUAGCCGACGCCCCGAGAUUCUGCGUAGUGCCCGUUCCCGUGAGAAUUCGGGGAUAAAAUAUAGCCACAAAUAACAUGGCUUUCUAGUGGUAAAAGUAUUUUCAAAAUAGAUUCAGUAUAUCCAGAUCCCUACAACCUCACAAACUUUACCUAUUUAUAAUAUUAGUACAGAUCACGGAUUAAAGGAGCGUAAGCUUUUAGUGUUUUCUGUUCUGUGGUAUAGACUAUAGAAAACAAACCCUUAAUAGUCAAUCUUCAUCCAGCGUCAUUAAUCUCUUGUAAAACUUAGCCUCAAGUUCAACCUGAAUAAGUGGGGAUAACAUUUUUUUUGAUGGCUUUUAGACUUAAUGAGCCUUUUUGAAGUGUAAUGUCUGUUUGUUUGUACUCCAUCAAUGAUUUUAUUAAUGUUGGAAAAUGUACUAAAUUAAAUACAAUCAUAGAUAAUACGAAAUAUUGUAAAAUAAUUAUAACUGGAUUAUUUUUAAAUUCCUCAGUAUUUUGUUACAUUGUAAUUUUCGUUUUUGUAAUUAAAGCAAAUUGAUGAGUUAAUAGAUCUCAUAACAUAAGGAGAAAAGUUGUUUGUGUUACUUAUUACUUGGUUUAUAUCUCAAAAUUUAAAAGUUUUAUAUUUUUUACAACGAAAACAAUAGCUUUUCUUAUAAAUUUUUUAUUUUGUUUAGAAAAUUGUUCAUUGAAUUCGCUACAAUUGACAAUACAUUUGGCAAUACAAUUCCAUUCCUAUAAUAUGCUUGAAAAAACCAAAUAUUCUUUCAGUAUUUUUCAGAACAUCAAGCCGAGGUACACGUCAGUUGGUCAUAAACGGGUAUUCGUUCAUCUGUAGAAGUUACUGUCUCAACCACAUCAAAAAAAUAUGGAAAUGUGCGACGAACGCCGACUGUACGGCCAAAGUUCACACAAUUCAAGAUCAAAUCGUCAUAUUGAAUAACGACCACAAUCACCCCUCUAGUGCGCUAGAGUGGAAGUUUCCCCGUCUACCUAGACAUUUGAGUCGCCCAAACCUAGUGAAUUAACAUUUUUUUUAAGAUGUAAGUUUGACAGCGUUGAAAUAUUUUACUUUGGUGCUGCAGAUACAUAUAUUUUUGACACAGUUAUCAAAUAAUCUACCUGACGAUGAAAUGUUACACAAAUAUUGAUUUAAUUUUUUAAAAAUUAUUUCGAUACAAAUUAUAUUAAGUUGUCUAUUUUUAUUUAUUUAUUAUUAACUUUCCUGUGUCUUGCACCUUCUAAGCAAAAACAAAAAAUGCUUAUUUUAAAAGAAACAUUUUAACAUUGUCAAUUUUACCAUAUACAUACCAUGUUACCAACGUUUUUAUGAUAAUUUUAAGCUUAUUUACAUUACAUGAGUUUUUAUAAUGAAUAUAUGAAUUAUUAGGAUACACAGACCGUGAUAUUAUAUUAAAGUCGUGCUAUUCGACUAACGUAUCUCUAAGCCAAACUAAAUUAGCAAGCACAAAAUCCGUACUAAGUAAAAAAAUAAAAAUAAUGUAUAAAGAAAUUUUUUCUUCUAAAUUUUUUUUUUUACUUACUAUGAAUUACAAAUACUUUGUUGUAAUUUCAGCAAACAACGUAUUUAGAUUUGUUUAGAGAUAUAUACAUAUAAUUCUAGAAAGCAGGCUGUUAGCAAAUAAAUUUGUAUUGAAAAUUUAUGAACCAUUAAAAAUUAUUUGUUUUAACAAUGAUUUUAUAAAUUUGUAGUUAGAGAUAUAUUGAAAAAAAGUCUUCUGAACCCAAAACCACUCUAUUGACAAAGACGAAAUCCUUCGCUUAAAGCGAAGGAUUAUACUAAGGCUGUAUAUUCGUAUGUCAAGUCUUAUUACCUCCAAGGUACCUACGAUAGAAUAAAGAAACCGGUAUUCGGAACAUUAUAAAUUUAUAAUGAUAGUAUUGAUACUACGCUUGUUAAGCAAUAGCACUAUAUUUAUCUCUGCGUUGCGGUAUAUAAUAUACAGGGUGCUCGGGAGUAUUUCCCAUAACUUCAAAGUGUUGACGAGUCCACUUAAUAUUUCAAAUAAUUCCGACUCCAUCCAAUCCAUGUAACACACUGUCCUUUAUCUAUCCUUGCAUUUAAAAAAAAUAAAAUACGUAAAACUUUGCUACGUCAUGAUUAAAAGGAUGCGUUUAAGGUACACAUUCAAAGAUCUAUUUAAGUACAAAAGAAAUAUUAUUUACCCCAAAAAUAUUAAUUUUAGAACACAUGUUCCUUGAACAUUUUUUUUAAUUUUCGGUAAAGAAUAUAACCCCAGAGUUGGAAAUACUCCCCAGCCCCAUUGUAUAUAUAAGAGUAAGUAUAUAUAUCCACGACACUCUGUGAAACAGUCUAUAUAAAGUGUAGUGUAAGUGAAAGUAAUAUUUCAAUGGAACUUCACAAUUCCAGGUAUAUACUUUACAUCUUCACAGAGGGGUGGUUAUAUCCUUCACAUGGACGACUACACUUACAACAAACGAAACACCACCCGAGAUCGCACUACGUGGUAUUGCACGAAUUAUUACAGCAUUCCACCGUGCAAAGCUAAAGUUAUCACUAUAGGGAAAGACGUCAUCGCUGACGUUGGUAUUCAUAAUCACGCACAAGGAUCUAAUAAAGUAAAUGAAAACGCCGGAAGAUCAGACGAAUAGCCUGGAAGAAAUAUCUUCACAAAACGAAGGGAACCUCGGAUCUUCAAUACAGCCAAAGGGGGCCAAGUGUUGAUACUGCAAGGACAUCGCUUUCAUCGGGAGUACGGAAGAGUGGGGAGAAGUUACUGGCGCUGUACUAAAAGACUGAUGUAUUCUUGUAAAUGCACCGUAAGGAUCAUUAAUGGGCAAAUAUUCUCUAUGGGCGAGCAUAGUCAUAAAUAAAUACACUGAAAAUAAAAAUGAAAUUUUAAUUUGUCAACUAAGGCUCCAAAAUAGACUAAUAAUUUCUGGUAAUCUUAAAAAUAAGGAUUUUGGUUCUAUUAUGAGCAUGUAUCUAAACCAUUCAGUGAUUAAUAAAUGUUUUCCAAGGGUUAGGCAUUGACCUCUCAUAAUAAAAGGACGCACUAUCAUAUAGAAAAUUUCACUUAAAAAAUGGCCAAUUUUGCUUUGACAGUUUUAGAAUUAUACCUAAAGGCCUUUAAAUAUAGUCCAAUAUUCAAUUAAAUCCCAAAUUCAUAGCAAAUCAACCGUAAGGAUUGGGUUUAAGGUUGAAUUUGCAAAUGCGACUACUUGAAUGAGUGCCAAGAAGUUGUGUUUGGCACUCAUUGAGUGGGGACGUUUUUUGGUCGCUGAUUGUGCAUCCACUUUUUAAUAGAUCGAUGGGGUUAGGUUUUAAUUAUGUAAUCAAUGACAUAUUUUUUUUUAAUGUAGUUAGAAUUUGAUUUUUAGCUUAAUUUUUUUUCGAUUGUCAGUGUAAAUACAGUUACAUAGAUCAAUAUUUAGGUAAAGAUUUAAUUGUAAAUAUUUAUUGCUUAAAUGACUUCUGUGUGUCAAGAAUGAAGAUGUUAUUUGUUGUUGCGCCAUUUAUUUGAUGCUAUACUAUGUCUAUUCUUUAAUAUCUUGAUAGGGAUGAUAUAUUCUUUUAAAACUUUUCGGUAUAUUCGGUCAAAAAAUUAAUGUGAUCAAAAUUGUUAUAAAAUUAUAGCAUUCCAAAUAUACAUGUUAAUAUGUUUA